CCCUUAGAUGUUCUGGGCCGCACGCGUGCUACACUGAGUGGAUCAGCGGGUCAGGUUGCGCGAAAGCGUUUCCUAAUCUUUAAAUCCGCUCGUGAUGGGGAUUGACGGGUGCAAUUUUCUGUCAUGAACGAGGAAUACCUUGUAAGCGCGGGUCAUCAUCCCGCGCUGAAUACGUCCCUGCCCUUUGUACACACCGCCCGUCGCUCCUACCGAUUGGGUGAUCCGGUGAAUGAUUCGGACUCUGGCUAUGCUAGCUACUAGCUACGUCAGGGAAAGUUUUGUGAACCUUAUCACUUGGAGGAAGGAGAAGUCGUAACA
RNAcentral lists this ribosomal RNA (318 nucleotides) under uncultured eukaryote. RNAcentral's name for it is "partial 18S ribosomal RNA". It matches the Rfam family "Eukaryotic small subunit ribosomal RNA", at positions 1470 to 1796 of the family's 1831-position model. The record is from RNAcentral.